AAACCGUCCGGUGGAUGGCUCGGCUCGGGCGCCGACGAAGGGCGCGGCAAGCGGCGAAAUACCUGGGGGAGGCGCAAGCAGCCUUCGAUCCCAGGAUCCCCUAAUGGGACUUCCCACCCGGCGCCAAAAGUGUCGGGUUAAGCUCCGGUGUCUCACCGGAGCGGGAACCCCCCGAACGGAAGCAUCUUAGUAGGGGGAGGAGGAGAAAUCAAUUGAGAUUCCCUGAGUAGGGGCGACCGAAAGGGGAACAGCCCAAACCAAACCCGCUGUCGAUGAGGCAGUGGGGAUGUGGUGUUUCUGGCCCUGAACCUGGGGCAACCCGGCUCUCCUAACCCGCAUAGCCGAACUCACCUGGAAUGGUGGGCCACAGAGGGUGAUAGCCCCGUAGGCGAAAUGCGGGUGGAGGGCGGUUCAGGGCAGAGUACUAUCCCCUAGUUUGGGGGUAGGAAGAUGGGGGACACGUGCCUCCAAGGCUAAAUACUACCCGAGACCGAUAGCGAACUUAGUACCGUGAGGGAAAGCUGAAAAGAACCCCGGGAGGGGAGUGAAAAGAGCCUGAAACCGGACGGUCACAGAGGGUAGGGCCCGAAAGGGCUGACUCCCCCCGAAGGAAAGGGGUGCGAGCCCUGAGUACGAGGGGGGUGACCGGGGUCCUACCAUUCGUCUUGAAACACGGGCCGGGGAGUUCACGCUGGUGGCGAGCCUAAGGCGUUCAACGCCGAAGGCGUAGGGAAACCGAGGAUCCGCAACCCGGGCGACCGGGUGAGGGAUCGGGUCUGUCAGGGCCUUGAGUCACCGGUGUGAGACUAGAAACCGGGCGAUCUAGACCAGGGCAGGCCGAAGCCGGGGGAAACCUCGGUGGAGGGCCGAAUAGGGGUUCUGACGUGCAAUUCGUUCCCUUGACCCUGGUCUAGGGGCAAAAGACCAAUCUAGCCCGGUGAUAUCUAGUUCCCUCCGAAAUGCGUCCUAGCGCAGCCUCCCUGGAGGUUGCUCGUGGGGUAGAGUUACUGAUUGGGGGCCUCUGGCGAAAGCCAGAGGAACUCAGUCAAACUCCGAACCUGCGGGCACCAGAGAAGGGGGGAGUGGAUCACCCGGCGUAAGGUUGGGUGGUAAGAGGGGAACAACCCAGACCCGGGUUAAGGUCCCUAAGUGCUGGCUAAGUGCCAAUCAGAAAGGGCGUCCCAUGCCUUAGACAGCGGGGAGGUGGGCCCAGCAGCAGCCAUCCUCUAAGGAGUGCGUAACAGCUCACCCGCCGAGGCCUGGGGCCCUGCAGAUUGGUCGGGGCUCAAGCCAGCCACCGAUACCCGGGGGGUGGUACCCUAUGGGUGCCGCUCGGUAGGGGGGCGCCACGGUGGGCCAGAAGGCGGGCCGUGAGGUCCGCUGGACCCUCCGCGGGUGCAGAUCCCGGCGGCAGUAAUAGCGAAGGAGGGUGAGAAUCCCUCCCGCCGAAAGGGCAAGGGUUUCCCGGCAAUGGUCGUCAGCCGGGAGUUAGCCGGUCCUAAGGUAGGGCCUAACUGGUACCUACCGAAAGGGAAAGGGGUUAAUAUUCCCCUGCCACGGGGGUAGGUGCGGCAACGCAAGCCGGACUCCUAACGGAUCGGGCUAGGGGGACGUAAGCCAAACGCUUAAGCCCCUGGAGAGCCGUAAUGGUGAGAAGGGGGUGAAGGCGCGAUGGGCCCUCCGUUAGGAGGGUUCUCCUGAUGCCUGGUCCCCAUGAAAAGGGAGUCCGGAACGAUCCCCCGUGACCGUACCUAGAACCGACACAGGUGCCCCUGGGUGAGAAGCCCAAGGCGCAUGGGGGCUAACCCAGGCUAGGGAACUCGGCAAAUUGGCCCCGUACCUUCGGAAGAAGGGGUGCCUACCACAGUAGUAAUCCUGCUGUGGUAGGUUGCAGUGACCAGGGGGGCCUGACUGUUUAAUAAAAACAUAGGUCCCCGCUAGCCCGUAAGGGUGUGAACGGGGGCUGAAUCCUGGCCACUGGCGGUCGGUGAAACCCGGGUACAACCGGGCGAAGCCCCGCUGAAGGCCGGGGGUAACUCUGACCCUCUCAAGGUAGCCAAAUGCCUUGCCGGGCAAGUUCCGGCGUGCAUGAAUGGAUCAACUGGGCCCCCACUGUCCCAGCCUGGGGCCCCGUGAACGCCCAGAGUGGGUUCACAGUCCCGCAACCCCCUACACCGAGAGAAGACCCCGUGGAGCUUCACUGCAGCCUGGCGUUGGUUCCCGGGCGCUCAUGCGUAGAGUAGGUGGGAGGCGUCGAAGCCGCCUCUUCGGGGGCGGUGGAGCCGAAAGUGAAACACCACCCAUGAGCGCUCGAGAACCUAACCCCGAGAGGGGGACAGCGUCAGGUGGGCAGUUCGGCUGGGGCGGCACUCCCGCGAAAAGAUAACACGGGAGCCCAAAGGUCGGCUCAGGCGGUACAGAACGCCG
RNAcentral lists this ribosomal RNA (2427 nucleotides) under hot springs metagenome. Its description in RNAcentral is "bacterial LSU rRNA". It matches the Rfam family "Archaeal large subunit ribosomal RNA", at positions 15 to 2408 of the family's 2987-position model. The record is from RNAcentral.